CCUACGGGUGGCAGCAGUGAGGAAUAUUGGUCAAUGGACGAGAGUCUGAACCAGCCAAGUAGCGUGAAGGAUGACUGCCCUAUGGGUUGUAAACUUCUUUUAUAUGGGAAUAAAACGUUCCACGUGUGGGAUUUUGUCUGUACCAUAUGAAUAAGGAUAGGCUAACUCCGUGCCAGCAGCAGCGGUAAUACGGAGGAUCCGAGCGUUAUCCGGAUUUAUUGGGUUUAAAGGGAGCGUAGGUGGAUUGUUAAGUCAGUUGUGAAAGUUUGCGGCUCAACCGUAAAAUUGCAGUUGAAACUGGCAGUCUUGAGUACAGUAGAGGUGGGCGGAAUUCGUGGUGUAGCGGUGAAAUGCUUAGAUAUCACGAAGAACUCCGAUUGCGAAGGCAGUUCACUGGACUGCAACUGACACUGAGGCUCGAAAGUGUGGGUAUCAAACAGGAUUAGAUACCCCAGUAGUC
Molecule: ribosomal RNA, 460 nt
Filed under: uncultured bacterium
Lineage: Bacteria
Description: partial 16S ribosomal RNA
Rfam family: Bacterial small subunit ribosomal RNA
Source: RNAcentral